CAAUAGCGUAUAUUUAAGUUGUUGCAGUUAAAAAGCUCGUAGUUGGAUUUCGGUUAAGAGCGACCGGUCCGCCGUUUGGUGUGCACUGGUUGGUUUUAACUUCCUGUAGAGGACGUGCUCUGGGUUUAACGACCUGGACUCGGAGUCUACGUGGUUACUUUGAAAAAACUAGAGUGUUCAAAGCGGGCUUACGCUUGAAUAUUUCAGCAUGGAAUAACACUAUAGGACUCCUGUCCUAUUUCGUUGGUCUCGGGACGGGAGUAAUGAUUAAGAGGAACAGUUGGGGGCAUUCGUAUUUCAUUGUCAGAGGUGAAAUUCUUGGAUUUAUGAAAGACGAACUUCUGCGAAAGCAUUUGCCAAGGAUGUUUUCAUUA
RNAcentral lists this ribosomal RNA (374 nucleotides) under uncultured eukaryote. Its description in RNAcentral is "partial 18S ribosomal RNA". It matches the Rfam family "Eukaryotic small subunit ribosomal RNA", at positions 592 to 975 of the family's 1831-position model. The record is from RNAcentral.